Corapipo altera (White-ruffed manakin) is the source of this 306-nucleotide long non-coding RNA. RefSeq lists it as uncharacterized. The record is from RefSeq and is a predicted model, not a curated record. The transcript is spliced from 3 exons. NCBI's taxonomy places the organism in Eukaryota, Metazoa, Chordata, Aves, Passeriformes, Pipridae.
AUUUGUAAUCAGGGUGUUUGCAUGAGAAGAAGUUCCAGUCGAUGCUCCACAGGCUGCUUCAGUUUCAUGUGAAACAGUCCUUGAUGAUGAACCUAUCUACCUGAACUUUGACCCCUCAAGCUGAUUACUUCAGUGCUCAUCAUUGCAGACUAAGCCCAGUUUUGGAAUUGUGCUUUAAUCAAUCAAUACUUGUGGAUACAAGGCCUGAUCUCAGAUCAGGACCACCAAAUACUGCAACAGAGGACAGAUGAAGAUUUUAAAAUAUGAUUUUAAGUCCAGAGAAAUUGUCAAGGAGUCUCAGCAACA